GGAAUAUUGCGCAAUGGGGGGAACCCUGACGCAGCAACGCCGCGUGAGUGAAGAAGGCCUUCGGGUUGUAAAGCUCUUUAAUCAGGGACGAAGAAUGACGGUACCUGAAGAAUAAGCUCCGGCUAACUACGUGCCAGCAGCCGCGGUAAUACGUAGGGAGCAAGCGUUGUCCGGAAUUACUGGGUGUAAAGGGAGCGUAGGCGGGAGGAUAAGUUGAAUGUGAAAUCCACAGGCUCAACCUGUGGCUGCGUUCAAAACUGUUCUUCUUGAGUGAAGUAGAGGCAGGCGGAAUUCCUAGUGUAGCGGUGAAAUGCGUAGAUAUUAGGAGGAACACCAGUGGCGAAGGCGGCCUGCUGGGCUUUUACUGACGCUGAGGCUCGAAAGCGUGGGUAGCAAACAG
This 400-nucleotide ribosomal RNA is filed under the name uncultured bacterium. RNAcentral describes it as "bacterial SSU rRNA". It matches the Rfam family "Bacterial small subunit ribosomal RNA", at positions 358 to 775 of the family's 1533-position model. The record is from RNAcentral.